This is a long non-coding RNA of Papilio xuthus (Asian swallowtail), 477 nucleotides long. RefSeq lists it as uncharacterized. The transcript is spliced from 3 exons. Lineage: Eukaryota; Metazoa; Arthropoda; Insecta; Lepidoptera; Papilionidae. The record is from RefSeq and is a predicted model, not a curated record.
UCGAAACGUGGCUGACGUUUAAAUUUUGGAUUGUCUUGUCAUAAUUGUAUAAAUCCAACAAGAGUGAAGCGUAGGCACUUUUACAAAAACUGCUCAAAGGAUUGCAAUAAUUAGUGUGUUAAAUUGCUCUCAAUUAUAAAAAAAAAUGGAUCAAAUCGCAAAGUUUGUAGAGCCAGGCAAGCAGUUCGCUAAAGACUCUAUCAGAUUAGUGAGAAGAUGCACAAAACCAGACAGAAAAGAAUUCCAAAAGAUUGCAAUUGCCACUGCUAUCGGAUUCUGCAUCAUGGGAUUCAUCGGUUUCUUUGUUAAAUUAAUUCAUAUCCCCAUCAACAACAUUAUUGUUGGAUCGUAAGCUUUAGUUAGUUGCUUAGAUAUAAUUUUUAACUUUAAGCCCGGAAGCCCUCUAAUUUAAAUUCUCAAUUCUCCUCCAAAUGCAGUAUGAUUUAAAUAAAUAAAUUAUAGCAAAUUUUUUAUUUA